UGUACCCUGCUGUGCGCGAGUAAGCUGAAGUUAUGAACCAACACCUUUUACCUAGGGGUCCGGACUCUGACUGUGGCGUGUAGGCCGCCAACAAGUUGUCGGAACACAAAAGCAGUCAGGAGGACACCCACCCUGCUUGAGCAGGUUCAGGUAACAUUCAGCUAAGACGGUAUGGCGGGGGCAUU
Molecule: non-coding RNA, 185 nt
Filed under: Bacillota bacterium
Lineage: Bacteria; Bacillati; Bacillota
Description: Firmicutes bacterium (anaerobic digester metagenome) 6S RNA
Rfam family: 6S / SsrS RNA
About the family: E. coli 6S RNA was the first non coding RNA to be sequenced, but its function was unknown until recently. It consists of 184 nucleotides that fold into an extended hairpin structure with a large single-stranded internal bulge.
Source: RNAcentral